Molecule: ribosomal RNA, 459 nt
Filed under: uncultured bacterium
Lineage: Bacteria
Description: partial 16S ribosomal RNA
Rfam family: Bacterial small subunit ribosomal RNA
Source: RNAcentral
ACUACGGGUGGCAGCAGUGAGGAAUAUUGGUCAAUGGGCGGGAGCCUGAACCAGCCAAGCCGCGUGAGGGAAGAAGGUACAGCGUAUCGUAAACCUCUUUUGUCAGGGAACAAAGGCGGGGACUAGUCCCCGGAUGAGGGUACCUGAAGAAAAAGCAUCGGCUAACUCCGUGCCAGCAGCCGCGGUAAUACGGAGGAUGCGAGCGUUAUCCGGACUUAUGGGGUUUAAAGGGUGCGCAGGCGGCAUGUUAAGUCAGCGGUAAAAGCCCGGGGCUCAACCCCGGCGAGCCGUUGAAACUGGCGGGCGGGAGUUGGAGAGAAGUACGCGGAAUGCGCGGUGUAGCGGUGAAAUGCUUAGAUAUCGCGCAGAACCCCGAUUGCGAAGGCAGCGUACCGGCUCCACACUGACGCUGAGGCACGAAAGCGUGGGUAUCGAACAGGAUUAGAUACCCUUGUAGUC